This is a long non-coding RNA of Astatotilapia calliptera (eastern happy), 1101 nucleotides long. Lineage: Eukaryota; Metazoa; Chordata; Actinopteri; Cichliformes; Cichlidae. The record is from Ensembl.
CAAAUAUGUACCUUUACCCAGCAUGUGGAGAUUAAAAGAUUAAGCGGUACAGGAGAGAAACAGACAUGAGUGAUUUUGUGCCAGUAAUGCCAGUAAUGUUAGUACUCUGUACCUGCAGUAAUGAAAUGAGGUGUGACUGCAAAGAGGGAAUGCCAUUUUUCCAGAAGAAUUCAUAGUUCUUUGUGCGUAUUUUGGUAUAUAUGAGCAUACUUGUGUGAACGCUUCAUGUUAGUGUUUGUGUGUGUGUGCGUGUAUAUUGGUCUGUCUUGCUGAGCCGUGCUCUCUAUCCCCAGGUAAGAGCCAUCAUUUUCUGUCCCUGCGUGGAGCCGUGAAGAAAAAUGCGGCUUUCCUUCGUAAGGCGUGUGCGUCUGUCUGCAUGGUCCAGCACUAUUUAAAACUUUACUGGAUUCUAGACAUGCAAGCAGAUUGCAACCUCUCUGCUCACCUAUACUCCCCACUUUCCGAUGCCUCUCUUCCUCCCCCUUUUAUCCACUCCCCCUCCAGUGGAGUAAGCAUCUUUCUCUGCAGCCUCCAGAGUGGGGAUCAGCUGCCUCUCAACACUGUAAAGUAGUUUAUUCUCUUCCUUACCCUUUUUCAUGCACCAACCACUGAAUGAUGAUUAAAUAUGAGGGCCAUAUAUAUGAAUAUCCUCCGACAGUGGAGACAUGGAAUUUUCCCCCUGAUAACUACCCCUGCUGCUGGCAAAAUUGCAUGUCUUUAUUACAUUAAAAUCUUUACAGUGUUUCAUGGCCCUUUAAAUUACUUGAGUACAUCCAAAAUGUAAAAAAAAAACAAAACAAAAAAAACCUCAAAGUCCAGGGAAUAGGGAUACAAGGAGAGAAAUAACAUUACUGUGCUGAGAUGAAACAACUUUUGUAGGAAAGGAUCUGCAUCUGCCUGACUUGUCUGAAAAAAUAACAAGAGGAUGUCAUCACAGAAAACAACUGGAGUGAUGGUUUCGUACCACACGACUCAUAAAAAACACUGUUCUUACUAUUGUUAGUGAUGUCAGAGUCCUCUCCUUGGUUUUUCAGAUUCCUUUCCCUAAAGUCCCCCCGCCCCCCUCCUGCAUCACUAUUAGCCUUGCUAGCUGCAAUAAUG